Molecule: long non-coding RNA, 2968 nt
Organism: Nycticebus coucang (slow loris)
Lineage: Eukaryota; Metazoa; Chordata; Mammalia; Primates; Lorisidae
Exons: 2
Source: RefSeq, a predicted model, not a curated record
AGCGGGCCUGUCCUGGUGACUGUAGUGGCUUAUGAAUCAUUUGGACCUAACCCCUUGGAGAGUGAACUAGUAGGUAUUUUUCUGACCUAGGGAUGCUGUGAAAAAUUUACUGUAAUACUAAAGCUCUCAAAUGGUCAGACGGGGACCUCUGCCGUAUUGGUGGCUUUGGAUAGAGGCAUAUGAUCAAAAUCAGGCCAAUCAGAGUCACCCCCAGGGCUUGUUCAGGAGAAAUAGGGCAGGUGCAUGCUGUUCUCACUGGGGUCACUAACAUUAAGAACAGCAUCAAUUUCUGGCACCUAUCUCUUCCCCUACAUACAAAGCUCUUAUCUGGGAAAGAAGCCUACCUGAAGAAAAGCAGACCUGAGAGGGACAGCAGGAAAGUGUCCUAACAUCAUGUGCUUGAGCACCUAGAACCAGCCCUACCUGAAGCAAAGCCACCACUAGACCUUUCAGUUAUAGGAGCCAAUAUGUUCCUGAAGCAAGUCAGCAUUCCUAGCUGCUGACAAUGUAAAUGAACCCAAACUGGCUUGCUCAGAAAAGAAUGUGUCAGGAACAUUCAGUAUUUCAGAGACUCUCUGGGAGAGAAGAAUAAUAGGUCCAUGAACAAUGUGUACCCAAAACCAGCACACCCAGCAACAACCCCCAAAUCAUGCUGAAAAAACUGGUCGAGUGGGAAGCCUCCGCUGGGCACAGACACCUCCCGCUGCAGCACCAAUGUCAGCAACGUCACCGGUGCUGGACACAUUACUAGAGCCUCGGCUGCUGCUGGCUCUGGAAACAGGAUGUGGCUGCUGCCAUUAUCCCCAGAAUAGAUUCCGGAUGGCGCUGCAGACUGGGAGGCUGGCGCGAGAGCAUCUGUUUGGCAUAAGAGGCUGGGAGCGAGCACCCGAUUGCCACCAUCAGGGGCGAUCUCUCCACCCACCAAGAACUACAAAGCAGGGAGCUCCCCCAAACGGAGGGAAAAUGUUUAAUAGGCAAAAAGAAUAACAAAUAACAGGCGCACCCCGUGACCCCCCCCCACAGUUGAAUGAAGAAAACAAAGUAACAGAAAAUGAGGUUCAUAAACUGCUCUCAUCCCCCUACACACAAAAAUCGUCUCUUUUCAAAAGAGGACCCAGACACGCGAUGACUGCAUUCAGCUCCACGCCGGCUUCCCGUCCCGCCCGGGGCACGGCGCCUGUCUCUCUGUGACUUCCAGGAGGCCGAGGAAAAAUAGAAAAAUCCAUCUUAAACUCAUAUAGACUCUUAAGGGACCCCGAAGAACCAAAACAAUAUUGAAAAAAAAAAAAUUGGAGGACUCACAGCACUCCCUGAUUUCAAAAUUCACAACAAAGCUACAUUGAAACAGCGUGGGACUGGCGUAAAGACAGACAGACAUAGGCACCGGGGAAGAGACUGGAGAGCUCCGAAGUAACCGUGCCCGGGUUCUGUCCGGUGUCUAUGAGCAGGGACCAAAGCCAUUCAGUGGGGCCAGGGCAGUCUUCGCACCGAGUGGUGUUGGGAAAAGUGGGUAUCUAUGUGUGAAAGAACGACGGUUAUCCUUCCCUGACAGCACGUGCCAAAAUUCACUCAGGGUGGAUCCGGAACCUAAACCAAAGAACUACAAUUAUAAAACUCUUAGGAAAACAGCACAGAGUCAAAGCUUCACAACCUUGGAUUUGGCAAUGAUUUCAUGGACAUGACACCAAAGGCACACACAGCAAAAGAAAAAAUAGAUAAAAACUUUUUGCAUCAAAGGACACUGUCAAGCUAUGGAAUGAGAAAAAAUAUUUGUAAAUAUCUGAUGAAGGUUAAUAUCUAGAAUACAUAGAGUACUCCUAAAACUCAACAAUAAAAAAAAUCACCAGGCACGGUGACUCACGCCUAUAAUCCCGGCCCUUUCAGAGCCAAGGUGGGCGGAUCACCGGAGGCCAGGAGUUCAAGGUUAUAGUGAGCUGUGAUUGUGCCACUGCACUCUAGCCUGGGUGAUAAGACCCUGCCACCAAAAAACAGAAAACAGAAAAACCUAACCAAGUUAAAAAAUGACCAAAGGACUUAUACAGACAUUUCUCCAAAGAAGACAAAGAAAUAGCCAAUAGCACAUGAAAAGAUGUCCUACAUCACUACUCAUAUGGAAAGCAAAUCAAAACCACAGCGAGAUACCGCCUGACACCCAGUGGGAUACCGCCUGACAUCCAGCAGGAUGGCUACUACAAAAAAGAAAACACGGAAAAAGUAAAAACAAGCACUGGGCUGGGUGUCUGUGCUCAGUGGUUAGGGCACCGGCCACAUGCACCUGGGCUGGUGGGUUCAAACAAGGCCCAGGCCUGCUAAAAACAAACAACAACAACAAAAAAUAGCCAGGCAUUGUGCCAGGUGCCUGUUGUCCCAGCUACUAGGGAGGUUGAGGCAAGAGAAUCGCUUGAUUCCAAGAGUUUGAGGUUGCUGUUGAGCUAUUAUGCCAUGGCAUUCUACCGAAGGUGACAAAGUGAGACUCUGUCUCAAUAAAAACGAAACAAAACACAAAAAACAAGCAUUGGCCUGGGUGCAGAGACCAGAGCCUCUUUACACAAUUGGUAGAAAUGUUUAAAAUGGCAAUGGAAAACAAUAUGGCAGUUUCUCAGAAAGGUAAAAGUAGAAUUACCAUUUGAUCCAGCCAUUCAACUUUGGGUAUGUGUGCAAAAGAAAUAAAAGCAGACUCCUGGCUUGGUGCCUGUGGCUCAAGCGGCUAAGGUGCCAGCCACAUACACCUGAGCUGGCGGGUUCGAAUCCAGCCUGGGCCCGCCAAACAACAAUGACCGCUGCAAGCAAAAAAUAGCCAGGUGUUGUGGCGGGCGCCUGUAGUCCCAGCUACUUGGGAGGUGGAGGCAGGAGAAUCGCUUGAGCCCAGGAGUUGGAGGUUGCUGUGAGCUGUGAUGGCACAGCACUCUACCCAGGGCAACAGCUUGAGGCUCUGUCUCAAAAAUAAAUAAAUAAAUAAAAUAAAAAA